GUUCUGUUGUUUAUGACUUGAUGUUUCGUUCCCUGCUGUUCACACAAUAUAGUUGAGAUAUCUGCAUAACAUUUUGCCGAUUUACUAUCGCUCAACUAAUCAAUGAUCUUAUAAUUAAAUAAAUGAUGAUCUUAUAAUUAAAUAAAUGCAACCUAUCAGUAAAUACAGUACACAGGACGAAAAACAAAUUAGUGCUUUUCUAUUCUUGUUUUCAACACUCAUUUCCUGGACCAUCUUGUUCUGUUAUUGUUGCUGAAAGUAGGAGUUCAUUAUCACAGAGCAAAUUUAUGAUAUGUAUUCGUCUCUAAUUAAAUUUAAUCUCUUACUUGAAAUAUAUAUAUGCCAUUUUCAAUCUAAUCUGAAUUAUUUCCUAUAAUUCAAAAUUUCCAAACAACUUUUUAACCUUCUUUCUCCUUUAAGAGCAAUAAUUGUUGUCCUCAACAAGUCAAAUCUUAUUAUUUUCCUGAAAAGUACCAUUGCCUCACUGUAUCUUUGGCCUGAUUUUCUAGACAUUCUAUCAGCUAACCUUUUUGAAAAAAGUAUUUGCUUCUCUUCCCAUUCCACCUGUUCUUGAUUUAAAGGACUAUUGGUGUAAAUGUUCCAUAUUCUACUUCAACAAUAUUUUUGUUGUCCAUGUUUUUCUUCUGUCUCUCAUGGCUAGUGUACAUACUCAUCAGAAAUCCAAGAGCUUUAUUGGAAGGAGCUUGAGCAUGAAAUACUCUUAUAUCUAAAAAUGCCCUUUCCAAUGGGUUUCAUACACUCCUAGCACUAACAUCUAAUCUAGCUCCAUCUGCUUUGUUGGCCCCUGCGGCCUGCAGGAAGUUCUCUCCCAUUGACAGGAAUAAGGAGAGGUUCAGUAGUAACAUCUUUACAGCCAGCAGUUUCUGAGAGCUCUGCUAACACAUCUCUCAAUGAAUUGUGGCGAAGAGAUACAUAUCCACCCCUUUUGCACAUUAGUGAGUGGUUUAUUGAGUUGUCACUUCCACAUACACAUUUUCUUGCAGCAUCUUUUAUUCCAAAGUUGUACCUAAGGGCUAGGGCGUCAUUGAAUUCUUGCUUGUUGAGACAGAAUCCAAAUGAUUUGAUUUAUUCACUAUAAUUCUGAAUUAUAUAUUUUGAUCUAAUCAUCACCCCAAGAAGCUGACAUGUUUAUGGAUCCAGAAUUUGCUAAAAAAGCUCUCCGAGAUCAUCCCAAAAUUAUUCUAUGUUCUAAAUUAAAGAUGCCCUUAAAUGAAGCCUGGAUUCUGGAACGAAAUGAAUGAAGUAGCACGAAAUGAAUGAAGAAGAACUAUUUAGGCUUUCAGAAUAAACAAAACAUGUUAGCGAAGAUUGACUAUGCCAAAAUGAAGCACGAAUCCAGCGUGUGGAAAACUCUCGCCGAAACUAAAGGAACUUUGAAGGAACAGUUAUCCCAUGCCUGAUUUCACGAAUUCGACUGAGAAAGUUGAAAUAGAACUGAAGCAUACGGUAUGAAGCAUGGGAGAGGUCAGCAUCUCACCGCCCUCCAGUGAUUGGGACCAAUGGAUGGGGCUCACUGAUGACCCACAAAUUGUUGUAGACUCUCCUAAACUCUCCAGACGCUGAAGCCUUCUUUGCGGGGAAGAACAUUAGCAGGGAGUCGUCUCCAUUCACGAGGAGCAAUACCCUUUGGUGGCCUGCAAUACCCUUUUCGAAUCUAUUGCUAGUGACAGAGAGAUCAAAAUAGCGAAACACAGGACAGAUACAAUGAGUGCCUCAAGACGGAAGCGCUAGCAGACAAGGAAAGGUGAUCAGGCUGCAGGACCAGCUGCUGGUGCAGAAGGACGAACAACUACAGUUGAAUAGACAGUACAAACAGCGGUGGAGUCAGGGAUUAAGAGCUACAGUGCAGCUGUUCAACAGAACAGUGCAAGUGGUACGGUCUGCUACAGUAAAAUCCUGAAGAAGGUGAUGAAGAGUGUGGCUGCAGAGGAGGACAGGAGCAAGAAUCUGAUAGUGUUUGGACUGAAAGAAGAGGAUGAAGAACAGCUACCAGCUCUUGUAAACGCAGUAUUGGACGAGAUCGGGGAGAAACCUCAUUUCGAAGCGACAAGAGUCGGCUGGAAGAGGCCAGGUACGGCCAUCCUACCAGCCAAGAUCACUGUCCCAAGCUCAACAGCAGUUCAUCAGAUUCUGAUGAAAACAGGGAGACUGAGGCUGGCUGAGGCACACAAAGAUGUAUGGAUUUGUAUAUCCAGUGAAGAGCGUGCAGCAAGGAAGAACCUGGUAACUGACCUGAAGAAGAAGAGAGCUGAACAAACUCAUCUCGACCACUACAUCUGGUACGGGAAGGUCUGUAGCCGGGUAAAGAAGCCACCAUGACGUAAUUCAUGUCUAUCGGACACCGAUCAGUAUAUUAUGUAGGAGUAUCUUAAGAGUUUACGGACGUUAUCUGUAUUUGAGAGACAAUUAUAUUAUAUGCAUACAUUAUUAUUUGAUUGUUUCACACUUUUCACAUUUCAUCAAUUUAUUACUAGGUGGUAGUGAUGUUAUUGAGACUUUGGGCGGCCAAAAACUCCUGUUCUGCAAGUUGUCCUCUGUACUUUUCGCUGACCCACGCUUUUUAGCAUUUAUACAUUUCGGCCUAGUGUGCACGAAAAUUUAUUUCAAUCAAUCAAUGUUUGUUCGAUUAACUGU
Bolinopsis microptera is the source of this 2655-nucleotide long non-coding RNA. RefSeq lists it as uncharacterized. NCBI's taxonomy places the organism in Eukaryota, Metazoa, Ctenophora, Tentaculata, Lobata, Bolinopsidae. The record is from RefSeq and is a predicted model, not a curated record. The transcript has 4 exons.